GCUGUGAUGGGUGAGAGGUUAAGGCGCUGGACCGGAAAUCCAAUGGGGGUUUCACAAGAGGUUCGAACUCCUGCUCGCAGCG
This 82-nucleotide transfer RNA is filed under the name Alosa alosa (allis shad). Its description in RNAcentral is "tRNA-OTHER". Lineage: Eukaryota; Metazoa; Chordata; Actinopteri; Clupeiformes; Clupeidae. The record is from RNAcentral.